Molecule: ribosomal RNA, 616 nt
Filed under: Cortinarius valgus
Lineage: Eukaryota; Fungi; Basidiomycota; Agaricomycetes; Agaricales; Cortinariaceae
Description: eukaryotic LSU rRNA
Rfam family: Eukaryotic large subunit ribosomal RNA
Source: RNAcentral
UGUGACCUCAAAUCAGGUAGGACUACCCGCUGAACUUAAGCAUAUCAAUAAGCGGAGGAAAAGAAACUAACAAGGAUUCCCCUAGUAACUGCGAGUGAAGCGGGAAAAGCUCAAAUUUAAAAUCUGGCAGUCUUUGGCUGUCCGAGUUGUAAUCUAGAGAAGUGUUAUCCGCGCUGGACCGUGUACAAGUCUCCUGGAAUGGAGCGUCAUAGAGGGUGAGAAUCCCGUCUUUGACACGGACUGCCAGGGCUUUGUGAUGCGCUCUCAAAGAGUCGAGUUGUUUGGGAAUGCAGCUCAAAAUGGGUGGUAAAUUCCAUCUAAAGCUAAAUAUUGGCGAGAGACCGAUAGCGAACAAGUACCGUGAGGGAAAGAUGAAAAGAACUUUGGAAAGAGAGUUAAACAGUACGUGAAAUUGCUGAAAGGGAAACGCUUGAAGUCAGUCGCGUUGUCCAGGGAUCAACCUUGCUUUUGCUUGGUGCACUUUCUGGUUGACGGGUCAGCAUCAAUUUUGAUCAUUGGAAAAAGAUUAGGGGAAUGUGGCAUCUUUGGAUGUGUUAUAGCCCUUGGUUGCAUACAAUGGUUGGGAUUGAGGAACUCAGCACGCCGCAAGGCCGGG